AGUGAACGCUGGCGGUAGGCCUAACACAUGCAAGUCGAACGGCAGCACAGAGGAGCUUGCUCCUUGGGUGGCGAGUGGCGGACGGGUGAGGAAUACAUCGGAAUCUACUCUGUCGUGGGGGAUAACGUAGGGAAACUUACGCUAAUACCGCAUACGACCUACGGGUUAAAGCAGGGGAUCUUCGGACCUUGCGCGAUUGAAUGAGCCGAUAUCGGAUUAGCUAGUUGGCGGGGUAAAGGCCCACCAAGGCGACGAUCCGUAGCUGGUCUGAGAGGAUGAUCAGCCACACUGGAACUGAGACACGGUCCAGACUCCUACGGGAGGCAGCAGUGGGGAAUAUUGGACAAUGGGCGCAAGCCUGAUCCAGCCAUACCGCGUGGGUGAAGAAGGCCUUCGGGUUGUAAAGCCCUCUUGUUGGGAAAGAAAUCCAUCUGGUUAAUACCCGGGUGGGAUGACGGUACCCAAAGAAUAAGCACCGGCUAACUUCGUGCCAGCAGCCGCAGUAA
Molecule: ribosomal RNA, 506 nt
Filed under: uncultured bacterium
Lineage: Bacteria
Description: partial 16S ribosomal RNA
Rfam family: Bacterial small subunit ribosomal RNA
Source: RNAcentral